AAUAUAGCUUAGAUAAGGAAACAGUAGUAGUGAUACAGUUGGUACUAAACAGUAAAAUUGAAACUUUGGCUUGUAAAAUUUUCAAUUAAAUUUUGCUUAGAAAUGAAAAUCCCAAUGGUUUCAUUGCAGCAUACAAUGUCAUGUUUCUUACAAAAUGUUGUUUGCAUUAUUGUGUCAAAAAAGGUUUCUCCAUAUUUGUUUAUUUUUCUUUUUAUAAAAGAUGGAAAAUAUAAGGAUGAGAUCUAAAUUGAAAGGAAGGAGGAUAGAUAUAUAUAGCUAAUUAUUCAUUAAACGGUUGUAGCUAACUAGAAAAUAUUAUACUUCGUCCGUUUCAAUUUAUGUGACGUAGUUUCACUCUACACAAAUUUAAGGAGUGCAUCGAACAGGGAUUUUUUUGUGUGAGAUUGAUCUUAUUUACAUUCAAAGACUUUUUUCUAUUUGUGUAUAAUUGGAGAUUUCUGACCAGUUUGCUAAGUAAAUCCAUUGAGUAAGGCAUCAUCAAAUUUUAGGACAAGACUCACGAGAAUAAUAAAUAUGCUCAGGCCUCAGUGUAUAUGUUUAUGUUGUGUUAGGAUCGGGUUAUGCGGAAUUUAGC
Molecule: long non-coding RNA, 595 nt
Filed under: Nicotiana benthamiana
Lineage: Eukaryota; Viridiplantae; Streptophyta; Magnoliopsida; Solanales; Solanaceae
Description: long non-coding RNA (NBEN_LNC003228)
Source: RNAcentral